ACAUAAUCCCCAACCCUGGGUAGCAAGGGCAGCGGAUAGGGGAUUUCACUAAAGCCGCAGGCUGGCUGCCUGCACCUGCAGGGUGGCGUGGGCUCAGUAGGUGGCGCUCUUGCCCCUCCAUCCUUCAUCCAUUUAUGUACAAGUUUAGUUGGUUGAUUUUUAAUCCGUUGCUUUCAGUCAUGCACACAAACACCCUGCAUGGGCGGCAGCACGAGCUCUGAAAAGCUACACGUGGCCUUUCCAUCUCCCAGCCAGCUGAGGCCCUGCCCUUAUCAGUUGUAGGCUUAAGGGUUUGUUGAGAUAAUUGUUAAGAGCAGAGCUGGGCUUCCCAGGUGGCAAUAAUGGUAAAGAACCUGCCCGCCAAUGCAAGAGACAUGAAACUCAGGCUUGAUCCCUGGGUUAGGAAGAUCCUCUGGAGGAGGGCAUGGCAACCCACUCCAGUGUUCUUGCCUGGAGAAUCCCAUGGACAGAGGAGCCUGGCGGGCUACAGUCCAUGGGGUCGCUCAGAGUUGGACACGAGUGAAGUAACAGCACACACAAGAGAAAGAAGCCAAUCUGAAAAGACUAUAUUCUCUGUGAUCCCAACUCUGUGACGUUCUCGAAAGGCAAAUAUGGACACAGUAAAAAGUUCCCCAACCAGGGAUCAAACCGACGCCCCUGCAUUGGAAGCAUGGAGUCUUAACCACAGGACCGUCAGGGAGGUCCCCCAUACAGCUUUUCGCCAAGUAUUUGGCACAGAUGAAAACACAAGGAGGAAUGACACGCGGCCGCCCCAUAAUUGUGGGGCCUUCUCCAGUGGACCAUGAUCUAUUUACUGAGAAUUUUUUAAUAAAUAAACCACAGCCUUGAACCCUUGUGCCCUUAUAAACCAGUUGGUUCUCAUGGGGAGAGUUCAGGAGUUUUUAUGGAGCAAUAGUAUGUUCUCAUGAGAAUUUUAUUAGAAAUCAGAGACUUGAAAUGCAUCAAGCAGGAAAUUUAUGAGGUUACAUGGGAACCAUCCCUUCAUUUUGUCAUUCUGGGUUAAUUUACUUCUUCGUAGUGUGUUGAUUUACUUUGUAAAUUUCAGUCAUGAAUUCUAAGCUUCUCAGCAAAUUUAAGCCUGCUCAUCAAUAUCUUGAACUUCUCCCAUUUUUUAUCCUUAAAAUAAGAUAGCUAAUUAUUGAUAGCCUAUAUAAGAAAGUCCAAACAUCUAUGGGAAGCACAUAUUCCUGGGCAGAAAUGUGUCCAAGCAGGUCUUUCCAAAUGCCAAGGAAUAAACAGAGCUUAGAGAAAAACAUUUUUAUAACCUACAUGCAAUUCUUUAUGUCUUGAACUUUUCCACUUAAUAGUUUCUCCAAAUAAUGUUUUUAAUUGUGUUUUGCAAAGUACCCAGUUAAAAUUUCACUCAUAAAAAAAAAAAAAACAAGCUUGUUUAUUAUCAUGUAACACAACUUGGAAAAUAGCCCAAACCCAGAAUAGAUGUUUGUGUGCUGGUGAAGUGGGGAGGAAGUGUUCUAAACAAGUUUUUCGUCUGGGCCCAUUCCAACAUUUCAUUAAUUGUGUGUUGAUGGUGUGAGGAAAGAGGGCAGGCCAGGACUGGCCUUGGCUGGAGCCAAGAAAGUGAGUGAGGAACCCCAGGAA
Molecule: long non-coding RNA, 1620 nt
Organism: Bos taurus (domestic cattle)
Lineage: Eukaryota; Metazoa; Chordata; Mammalia; Artiodactyla; Bovidae
Source: Ensembl